Molecule: ribosomal RNA, 493 nt
Filed under: uncultured Hymenobacter sp.
Lineage: Bacteria; Pseudomonadati; Bacteroidota; Cytophagia; Cytophagales; Hymenobacteraceae
Description: partial 16S ribosomal RNA
Source: RNAcentral
CACGGAGUUAGCCGGUGCUUAUUCCUCAGGUACCGUCAGUGUACCACGCAUGGUCUUUUUCUUCCCUGAGAAAAGCCGUUUACAACCCAGAAGGCCUUCAUCCGGCACGCGGCAUGGCUGGGUCAGGCUCUCGCCCAUUGCCCAAUAUUCCCUACUGCUGCCUCCCGUAGGAGUCUGGCCCGUAUCUCAGUGCCAGUGUGGGGGAUCACCCUCUCAGGUCCCCUAAGCAUCGUCGCCAUGGUGGGCCGUUACCCCGCCAUCUAGCUAAUGCUACGCAACCCCAUCCACUACCAAUAAAUCUUUCCCAAUUGCCUGAUGCCAGGCUGCUGGUAUAUGCGGUAUUAAUCCGCCUUUCGGCGGGCUAUCCCCCAGUAGUGGGUAGGUUGGUUACGCGUUACGCACCCGUGCGCCACUAGCGGUAUUGCUACCGCCCGUUCGACUUGCAUGUAUUAGGCCUGCCGCUAGCGUUCAUCCUGAGCCAGGAUCAAACUCU